Molecule: ribosomal RNA, 513 nt
Filed under: uncultured bacterium
Lineage: Bacteria
Description: partial 16S ribosomal RNA
Rfam family: Bacterial small subunit ribosomal RNA
Source: RNAcentral
GAUGAACGCUGGCGGCGUGCCUAAUACAUGCAAGUCGAACGCGCAGCGAAAGGUGCUUGCACCUUUCAAGCGAGUGGCGAACGGGUGAGUAACACGUGGAUAACCUGCCUCAAGGCUGGGGAUAACAUUUGGAAACAGAUGCUAAUACCGAAUAAAACUUAGUAUCGCAUGUUACAAAGUUAAAAGGCGCUACGGCGUCACCUAGAGAUGGAUCCGCGGUGCAUUAGUUAGUUGGUGGGGUAAAGGCUUACCAAGACGAUGAUGCAUAGCCGAGUUGAGAGACUGAUCGGCCACAUUGGGACUGAGACACGGCCCAAACUCCUACGGGAGGCUGCAGUAGGGAAUCUUCCACAACGGGCGCAAGCCUGAUGGAGCAACGCCGCGUGUGUGAUGAAGGCUUUCGGGUCGUAAAGCACUGUUGUAUGGGAAGAAAUGCUAAAAUAGGGAAUGAUUUUAGUUUGACGGUACCAUACCAGAAAGGGACGGCUAAAUACGUGCCAGCAGCCGCGGUAA